Molecule: RNA transcript, 881 nt
Organism: Hippopotamus amphibius kiboko
Lineage: Eukaryota; Metazoa; Chordata; Mammalia; Artiodactyla; Hippopotamidae
Gene: MED20
Gene name: mediator complex subunit 20
Exons: 5
Source: RefSeq, a predicted model, not a curated record
AGCGCCUCCCUCCACCGCAGCUUGCGUUAGCUAGGUGGCUGCACCUCGUGUGCGGUGCCUGAGAACACUGCAUUUCAGUUGUUUGAUCCUCCCAGCGUCCUGGCCCGACACCAUGGGAGUGACUUGUGUGUCCCAGAUGCCUGUGGCUGAGGGCAAGAGUGUCCAGCAGACCGUGGAGCUCCUCACCCGGAAGUUGGAGAUGCUUGGAGCAGAGAAGCAGGGAACAUUUUGUGUGGACUGUGAGACCUACCACACGGCUGCCUCUACACUUGGCAGCCAAGGUCAGGCUGGGAAGCUGAUGUAUGUGAUGCACAAUUCCGAGUACCCUUUGAGCUGCUUCGCCCUCUUUGAGAACGGCCCUUGCCUUGUUGCCGACACCAACUUUGAUGUGCUCAUGGGGAAGCUCAAGGGCUUUUUCCAGAGUGCCAAGGCCAGCAAGAUUGAGACCCGGGGCACCCGUUACCAGUACUGUGACUUCCUAGUGAAGGUGGGCACGGUUACAAUGGGGACCAGUGCCCGAGGCAUCUCCGUGGAGGUGGAGUAUGGCCCCUGUGUGGUAGCUAGCGACUGCUGGAGCCUGCUGCUCGAGUUCCUGCAGAGCUUUCUAGGCAGCCACACCCCAGGGGCUCCCGCAGUGUUUGGGAACAGGCACGACGCGGUCUACAGCCCAGCAGACACCAUGGUCCAGUACAUGGAACUCUUCAACAAGAUCCGCAAGCAGCAGCAGGUGCCCGUGGCGGGGAUUCGUUAGUGAUUGGCAGCUGCCUGGCUGAGCUGUCGCCAGGGGGACUCCACAGGAGGAGCAGGUAAUAGAGAAGAGGAAACCUAACCAAUGACUGUGGAAUAAUAUGGAAGAAGAUGGAAAAAAUCUGUUUAAUGGG